GGUUCGAUCCUGGCUCAGAUUGAACGCUGGCGGGAUGCUUUACACAUGCAAGUCGAACGGCAGCACGGACUUCGGUCUGGUGGCGAGUGGCGAACGGGUGAGUAAUGUAUCGGAACGUGCCUAGUAGCGGGGAUAACUACGCGAAAGCGUAGCUAAUACCGCAUACGCCCUUCGGGGGAAAGCGGGGGACCUUCGGGCCUCGCACUGGCCGACGGCCAUUAUCGGAUUAGCUAGUUGGUGGGGUAACGGCUCGCAAGGCGACGAUCCGUAGCUGGUUUGAGAGGACGACCAACCGCACUGGGACUGAGACACGGCCCAGACUCCUACGGGGAGGCAGCAGUGGGGAAUUUUUGGACAAUGGAAACCUGAUCCAGCCAUCCCGCGUGUGCGAUGAAGGCCUUCGGGUUGCCAGCACUUUUGGCAGGAAAAAGAAACGGCACGGGAUAAUACCCCGUGCAACUGACGGCUGCAGAAUAAGCACCGGCUAACUACGUGCCAGCAGCCGCGGUAAUACGUAGGGUGCAAGCGUUAAUCGGAAUUACUGGGCGUAAAGCGUGCGCAGGCGGUUCCGGAAAGAAGAUGCUUGAAAUCCCAGAGCUUAACUUUGGAACUGCAUUUUUAACUACCGAGCUAGAGUGUGUCAGAGGGAGGUGGAAUUCCGCGU
This 664-nucleotide unclassified non-coding RNA is filed under the name uncultured Bordetella sp. Its description in RNAcentral is "partial 16S-23S ribosomal RNA intergenic spacer". It matches the Rfam family "Bacterial small subunit ribosomal RNA", at positions 10 to 674 of the family's 1533-position model. The record is from RNAcentral. Lineage: Bacteria; Pseudomonadati; Pseudomonadota; Betaproteobacteria; Burkholderiales; Alcaligenaceae.